GUGAACGCUGGCGGUAGGCCUAACACAUGCAAGUCGAACGGCAGCACAGUAAGAGCUUGCUCUUACGGGUGGCGAGUGGCGGACGGGUGAGGAAUACAUCGGAAUCUACUUUUUCGUGGGGGAUAACGUAGGGAAACUUACGCUAAUACCGCAUACGACCUACGGGUGAAAGCAGGGGAUCUUCGGACCUUGCGCGAGUGAAUGAGCCGAUGUCGGAUUAGCUAGUUGGCGGGGUAAAGGCCCACCAAGGCGACGAUCCGUAGCUGGUCUGAGAGGAUGAUCAGCCACACUGGAACUGAGACACGAUCCAGACUCCUACGGGAGGCAGCAGUGGGGAAUAUUGGACAAUGGGCGCAAGCCUGAUCCAGCCAUACCGCGUGGGUGAAGAAGGCCUUCGGGUUGUAAAGCCCUUUUGUUGGGAAAGAAAAGCAGCAGGUUAAUACCCCGCUGUUCUGACGGUACCCAAAGAAUAAGCACCGGCUAACUUCGUG
This 491-nucleotide ribosomal RNA is filed under the name uncultured bacterium. RNAcentral's name for it is "partial 16S ribosomal RNA". It matches the Rfam family "Bacterial small subunit ribosomal RNA", at positions 29 to 507 of the family's 1533-position model. The record is from RNAcentral.